Molecule: non-coding RNA, 1562 nt
Organism: Petromyzon marinus (sea lamprey)
Lineage: Eukaryota; Metazoa; Chordata; Hyperoartia; Petromyzontiformes; Petromyzontidae
Source: RefSeq, a predicted model, not a curated record
CUGUGACGUCACCACUCAGCCUACCUCAUCGGCUUGAAACGCCAGGGGGAGGUGUACCUCGCUAGUGACGUCAUUUCACCAAUGUAUUCAUCCCGUCCACGGCGCCCUUGAGCAUGACGUCACUGAUGCUUGGGUCACUGCCGUUAUCUGUUCAAGUACAAUCCUUAUUUGGGCAAAGCCACGCCCAGUGACUGGCGGCGCAUUAACAUAAUGCAUUCUUUGAAGCCGUCGCGAGUUGCGACAGGUUCAGUACCCACGCCCCAUCCCUCGAUAUUUGGGCCGGACUCAUUAACAUAAUCUAUUCACGUAUGGAACCGCUCGUUGUGGCAGGGCAGUAUUAUCGUAUCUCGCCAGUGACGCCAUGUCACCUACUGCUGCCGCGUGACGUCAUGUGGUAACAGGAAGCUGCCACUCUGCCCGUGAACUGAAAUCCGAGCCCCCACCCCUCCCCCCCCUAACACUGGCUAUGCUCUAGCCUCUUCACUCGUCACGCUUUUGGCCCGACCCUAGCCAGGAGUUCAGGUUCAGCCCUUUGGGCUCUUCGCUUCGGGUCUUCAAGGUGGCGGCAGCUCCAGGGUGGCUCUUGAGUCUUCAGGUGAACGACGACUGCCGGUCCCGUUCAGGGCACCGGCUUUUAUACCGGAUUCUGGCUCAUUCUGCCCUGGUCACUCCUCCCUUCUGGAACCGUCCCGAGGGGCCUGGAGCGUGACAUUAUCUCCCAGCCCCCUUCUAGGGGGUCUGGGGUCUGUACCCCUGGUCCCGAGCUAUGCUGGGGUUCACCUUGGCCCAACGGCCUCACUUCUGCCCCCCUGUUGACCCAAGGCCGUUACUAAAGGCCAAAAGUAGCGGCAGUUACAGACAGUGUUCAAUGAUAUCGCUACAGAUCUAUAUAAUGCUCCGUCACCAGGGGCGGAGCCACAGCGGGGCUGGGGGGGACUCAGCCCCCCCUGAAAUUUUGGGAAAGUCGGUAAUCGGGAUAACCGGAUAUCCGGCUGCAGCAAAAUGCUGGCUGCCACCUUGUGCUGCCUUGCAGGCUGCUUGAGCGACAGCCUUUCAAACUUAUCAAACUUAUUAGCCACAUCAGCAGCUCCGACCUAUUAAUAAACUCCGCGUUCAAAGCCAAUACAAUUUGUUUUAUACAUUUGUGGCGCCCAUUGGAAAACAUACACUGGAUAUCUCAGAAUAUUGAAGUUAGCCCCCUCCCCAAAGUCAAAAUCCUGGCUCCACCCCUGCCCGUCACAGCGGCUUGUUUCUCUUUCUCACCUGAAGGCGGUUGCUGUUGUUGCGAUCAAAACGUCGUGAUCUAUUAUUUAUUUUUCUAUCUACGUGACUUUACCGAAAGAACCAAUGAGGAUGAAUUCCUGCAGUCAUGAAAGCUUCAUAGCAAGAUCAGAUGCGGUGGCCAGGCAUGGGUCUGGACAUACCACCACCUGUUUAACCAUGCCAGUGUGUGACAGUGUAAAGUUUGUGUUUUCAGUAAAGUCUAUUAACUCUGUUGAACACGGAGGUUAUAGCAAAAUAGUAGUUUAUUUUUGUUUUCCUUUGGAACUCUUUAUAAGAAU